Molecule: unclassified non-coding RNA, 2065 nt
Filed under: Hevea brasiliensis (rubber tree)
Lineage: Eukaryota; Viridiplantae; Streptophyta; Magnoliopsida; Malpighiales; Euphorbiaceae
Source: RNAcentral
GACAGUUGAAAUCAGUGGAACUGCUUCCCAAGUUCAAACAGCUCAGCAGCUGAUACAGGCAAUAUGGCUUACCAUGUCUUUUAUAUACUGACCUUGUUGUCUUUCUUUACUAGAUAUCCUUGUUGCAUAUCUUUUUGUUCAAACUGCUAUUUUGUGAUUGCUGGCAUGUGACCUUCAAUUUCACUAUUCCGAGUUUUCCUGCUUUUUGUGUUAAGUUUCAAAAUUGACAUUGGGUUAGGAUUCUAACUAUCAAACACAGAUGCUACUAUAGGUUGGAUGGCUACAGUAGUGCAGUAGGACCUUUAAAUUAUUGGUUGGAUGGCUGUGGAGUGUUUUAGGAAAGUUGGAAUUUGAAGUCUAUACUUUUAUCUAUAUACUUUGAAUGAUGAAAGAAAGGAACUAUCUAGAGUGUAAAUGAAGAUAUACCAACUAGUUUAACGUAGUUGAAAUAUCUAAAAUUGGGUGAGAGGAGUUAACUUGUUUUGGGGGCAAAAAAAGAAACCAUUUGAUAACUUCUUAUACAGGGGUAUCUUAGAUGGUGGACAUGUCGACAGGCUUUUGGGGACGUAGAGAACUAUCAAAGGGUGAUAUGGGUACUGCUUCGGUCAAUAUGACUACUUUGGGAUCUCCUACGAUUGGUCGGGUCUUCCUACGACUGCUUAGUCUACAAGAAAACAGAGAGUUAAAGUGCGAAAAGUGUUCUCCCACUGGGCAUUACGAUGUUUAAGUUAGGAUUGGGUUAAGAGAAGGGAAAAGCAAGUAAACUUAGAGAGUAAAUGCAGAGAGGAUAAGGGCUCUAAGAAUGUCAAUACCUGUGGUAGUUAAUGCUUAUUUACCUUUUCUCAUCCAAGAGGAUAGUACUCUGUGUGAUAUCUUGUACAACUGGUCCUAUAAUGAUGAUAUUUGACUUCUGAAAUGUCAUAAAACAUGUGUAGGUUACUGAGAGUCUGAAAUGUGUAGGUUACAUACAACUAUGUUUUUAUAGACCUAUGACACAUUAAUGGUGGCAGUCAACCCAUGUUGAUUUAGCUGGCCAAACAUCUUAUCAUAUGAAGCGAGAGUAGGGUCCCUAUAAGAUUAAUGAGACAUCCUUGGGGCAUUAAAUGAGCCGUUUCCUUACUUGAGAAGCCUUGUCUACUUGCUCCUUAAUAUAGGACGACCUCUCAACAGGAGUUGUCAGACGACGGCUUCCGUCUUGUGAUGACUGCUGUAUCAGAUAGUGACCUAGACCCUAGCUAUAGGGUAUUAGGGUUGGUUUCGUGUAGUUGUAUAUCCACAGUUCAGAGUACUCAUAUAGGACUAUACAAGCUCUCCUAUUUUAUGACCUCUCGCGUUACAUGUUUCACCCAUCGAAGAGGUCAGUUCAUUUGUUUUGUAUCACCAUCGGACAACUUUGUUUUGCUCUUUUGCACAUGAAUGUGUAAUAAUGAUUAGGUCUUUGAUGGUUUGAGCUGAUGUGAAGAUUUUGUAGGUCACUGAUUGAACUUGUGUCAGUUUCAUGAAGCUGCGCAUGAUGUAUUCUGAUGUGAUCUAGUGUUGUUUGAAUUUCUAGCUUUAUGUGCAUGUGCAAUCGUGCAUGUGGAUUUACACAAAUGUAAGCACAUGUGAAAAGGGUAUUCUAGUGCACAUGGUUUCCACAUUUCGGGCUCUGGAAAGGUUAGAUAGAUCUGUUGCAUGGAGACUGUUUCUGUGGUGUAAAUUUGAACGAGUCACCAUUAAGCGAUUACAGAUUGCACAAAUGUUUGGCUAUGUGAUAAUAUAAUUUAGAAAAAUUUUCGCCCUGUAAUUUAAUAUGGUUGUUCGAGUCUAACCAUCAAAGCCAUUAGUAUAUAGAAAGUGACAUGAAAUACUGUUGCUCAACCAUCUCUAUCUAUGAAUAAAAUUCAGGCCUACUGAUGCUUGGAUUCCGGAUUGUUUUCAGUAUUCUCAUGUACAAGCGCCUGGUUGCAUUUUAUGUGUUCUGAGCUUCUGAUGAUACUUUGUGUUGCAGAAUUUCAUGGCAGAAGCUGCAGCACCAACACAAACACAAACAGGUGGGUCUACAGACCAAGGAUAUAAUCCUUAU